This 443-nucleotide ribosomal RNA is filed under the name uncultured bacterium. RNAcentral describes it as "partial 16S ribosomal RNA". It matches the Rfam family "Bacterial small subunit ribosomal RNA", at positions 338 to 795 of the family's 1533-position model. The record is from RNAcentral.
CCUACGGGAGGCAGCAGUGGGGAAUAUUGGGCAAUGGGCGCAAGCCUGACCCAGCAACGCCGCGUGAAGGAAGAAGGCUUUCGGGUUGUAAACUUCUUUUCUCAGGGACGAAGAAAGUGACGGUACCUGAGGACUAAGCCACGGCUAACUACGUGCCAGCAGCCGCGGUAAUACGUAGGUGGCAAGCGUUAUCCGGAUUUAUUGGGUGUAAAGGGCGUGUAGGCGGGAGCGCAAGUAAGAGGGGACAACUCAAGGCUCAACACCGGACCUGCAAUUGAAACUGUGUUUCUUGAGUGCUGGAGCGGCAAGCGGAAUGGCGGGUGUAGCGGUGAAAUGCGUAGAGAUACGAAGGAACACCAGUGGCGAAGGCGGAUUGCUGGACAGUAACUGACGCUGAGGCGCGAAAGCGUGGGGAGCAAACAGGAUUAGAUACCCUUGUAGUC